This is a non-coding RNA of Triticum aestivum (bread wheat), 135 nucleotides long. The record is from Rfam. Lineage: Eukaryota; Viridiplantae; Streptophyta; Magnoliopsida; Poales; Poaceae.
CAAGUACUCCCUCCGUCCGGAAAUACUUGUCAUCAAGAUCAAUAAAAGGGGAUGUAUCUAGAUGUAUUUUAGUUCUAGAUACAUCUCUUUUUAUCUAUUUUGAUGACAAGUAUUUCCGGACGGAGGGAGUAAGUU